GUGAGAGAGAGAGAGGUGCAUAAAAGCUCAUCAUUUAUGUCUAGAUCGGGGUGGAGGAUUUGGAGUCACGAGUCUCCUCUUUACCUAAAACAUGCAUGUCUCGUGUCUCUUCAUUUCUCCUAGCUCAACCAAUCUGAAGCUUCUGGUUGUUCCUAGCUAGCUUUUCUCUUAUAUAUUAAGGUCUUUUCCAACAAAGGCCAAACCUUAUUCUGCUACCUGGUUCAUCUUUCCUCUUCUUUCUGGUUUGUUUGGUUUGAGAGCUUGAAGCUGCCAGCAUGAUCUGGUACCACUAGAGACUAAACCUAGCUAGCUUGCUGUAUAAAUAGAUCCGGAGAAGGUUGAGUGUUGAUUUUGUGUUUAUGCCAUGUAUGUCCGUUUUGAGGUUUAGAUAUAAGAACUGCAUCAAAUAGAUCGGUAAAAGAUGCAGCUUGAUAUAGAAAUAGGUAUUCGAAAUUUAGAAUAGGAUCCGGUUGGUGUUGAUUUUGUGCUAGCUUAUGUCCGGUGGCUUCAGGUUUAGAUAUAAGCUAGAACGGCGAAGAGAUCGAAUAGCAGAAGAUCUAGAUUUAUGUAAUUUGGUCCAUACUUUUGAUGGGGGUAUUUUAGUUUUUGAUAGAUCUUGGUUUGUUUCAUGUUCUGGGAAUUCUGGAGAAAUGGUUUUGAAGUCCACGAGUUCAGUUAAAGUUAAGUCUUAGAUAAGUAUAUAAGGUUACUCUAGCUAUACCAGGUCAUUCUUGCAGCUUCAAACACUCACUCACCAACAGUAUGAAACUCGACCUCUCAACCGAUAUGAAGGUCUUAUGGUGAUUCUCUGCUCGUCCCAAGGAGAUAAGCUUGGAUUCUGCAGGUAAACUCUCUGGUACAGUGGUACUCUUAUUGGUUUUUGAGAAGUUAUUAGAAAGAUCCAUGUACGUGGUCACUCAGAUUCUCAGAAAACACGUUCUCUGAGAGAAGUUAGCUGCAGCUUGCAGACUAUCGUAAAUGGCAAACCCAGAAAUCAAAUAACCAAGUAACCAACUGGGUCGUCGUCUCUGAGGAAAGGGCGCUGCAUGCUUUUACUGUGGUUGGUGUGUGAUUAUGGUGCUGCAUGCUAAUUAUUUUAACUACUACUCUAGUUUAAUUUCAGCAUCAGAUAAUUUACAUGGAUGAAUCGGUCUAUCUUUUCCUCAACAACUAAAGCUAGCUGGUUUUGAAAUGCUUGCCGGAAAAAAGAAGAAGAAGCUAGUUUUGACAUGCCCCGAUCAAACUGCUCAAGUGUAAUGCUAUCAUGCUAUCAAUCAUUAACCUUACUUUGGAGUAAUAUUCCACCAACUAGGUGUUUAACUUUCGUUCAGUAUUUGAUAUCAUAGUAAUUUGUAAUAAAAGUAUGCUUGAUCCAUUUACUUUUGGAUUCAGAAAUUUAUAAGUUAAAGCUCACAUGACCAC
This is an RNA transcript of Fragaria vesca subsp. vesca, 1422 nucleotides long. RefSeq lists it as uncharacterized. The record is from RefSeq and is a predicted model, not a curated record. The transcript has 2 exons. NCBI's taxonomy places the organism in Eukaryota, Viridiplantae, Streptophyta, Magnoliopsida, Rosales, Rosaceae.